UACGUAGGGUGCAAGCGUUAAUCGGGAUUACUGGGCGUAAAGGGCGCGUAGGCGGCCUUCUAAGUCAGACGUGAAAUCCCCAGGCUUAACUUGGGAACUGCGUCUGAUACUGGAGGGCUUGAGUGCGGGAGAGGGAUGUGGAAUUCCAGGUGUAGCGGUGAAAUGCGUAGAUAUCUGGAGGAACACCGGUGGCGAAGGCGGCAUCCUGGACCGACACUGACGCUGAUGCGCGAAAGCCAGGGGAGCAAACGGG
RNAcentral lists this ribosomal RNA (253 nucleotides) under uncultured bacterium. Its description in RNAcentral is "partial 16S ribosomal RNA". It matches the Rfam family "Bacterial small subunit ribosomal RNA", at positions 524 to 776 of the family's 1533-position model. The record is from RNAcentral.